RNAcentral lists this ribosomal RNA (253 nucleotides) under uncultured bacterium. RNAcentral's name for it is "partial 16S ribosomal RNA". It matches the Rfam family "Bacterial small subunit ribosomal RNA", at positions 524 to 776 of the family's 1533-position model. The record is from RNAcentral.
UACGGGGGGGGUAAGCGUUGUUCGGAAUCACUGGGCGUAAAGGGCGCGUAGGCGGGAUGGCAAGUCAGUCGUGAAAUCUCUCGGCUCAACCGAGAAACGUCGGCUGAUACUGCCGUUCUUGAGGGAUGCAGAGGAGACUGGAAUUCCCGGUGUAGCGGUGAAAUGUGUAGAGAUCGGGAGGAACACCGGUGGCGAAGGCGGGUCUCUGGGCAUUUCCUGACGCUGAGGCGCGAAAGCGUGGGGAGCAAACAGG